GCCACGCUCCGAGUACGGGCCGACCCGCCCGCCGCGAGAAAGCGUUGCCGCAGGCAACGACCCGAAGGGCGAAGCGCGCAGCGCUGAGUCAUCCUUCCCCCACCACCA
RNAcentral lists this small RNA (108 nucleotides) under Salmonella enterica subsp. enterica serovar Enteritidis. Its description in RNAcentral is "partial RtT sRNA". It matches the Rfam family "RtT RNA", at positions 24 to 130 of the family's 130-position model. From Rfam's summary of the family: This family represents a bacterial cis-regulatory element known as RtT RNA. The exact function of RtT is unknown although it is thought that it may be involved in changing the cellular response in relation to amino acid starvation. Lineage: Bacteria; Pseudomonadati; Pseudomonadota; Gammaproteobacteria; Enterobacterales; Enterobacteriaceae. The record is from RNAcentral.